RNAcentral lists this ribosomal RNA (411 nucleotides) under Triticum aestivum (bread wheat). RNAcentral's name for it is "partial small subunit ribosomal RNA". Lineage: Eukaryota; Viridiplantae; Streptophyta; Magnoliopsida; Poales; Poaceae. The record is from RNAcentral.
UUAUGUUACCCGAAGAGUGAAGGAGGUGUAGGUUUCAGAGAUUUGUACUCAUUUACUCUUGCAAUGCUAUCUAAGUAAUGUUGGAGACUAAUUAACUCACCUGAAUCAUUAUGUGCAAGAGUUCUUAAAGCAAAAUACUUCUUAAAUGGAGGCCUUUUGAAAGCAACUCUGAAGAACGGGGCUUCAUUUACUUGGCAGAGCAUCAUGGAAGGUGUUGAGGUUUUCAAAAGAGGAUAUAUUUGGAGAGUAGGUGCUAGAAAUGAUAUCAACAUAUGGUCGGAUCCAUUGAUUCCCUCUAGUCCUAACAGAACGAUUGUCACGCCCCGAGGGCAAGCAAUUGCUUCGGUUGUCAGUUUCAAACAUCGUUUUCGAUCCCGCAAAUCAAGCGGCGCAUGUGCUAUCUGGUUUUAG